Molecule: ribosomal RNA, 460 nt
Filed under: uncultured bacterium
Lineage: Bacteria
Description: partial 16S ribosomal RNA
Rfam family: Bacterial small subunit ribosomal RNA
Source: RNAcentral
CCUACGGGUGGCAGCAGUGAGGAAUAUUGGUCAAUGGACGAGAGUCUGAACCAGCCAAGUAGCGUGAAGGAUGACUGCCCUAUGGGUUGUAAACUUCUUUUAUAUGGGAAUAAAAUGUUCCACGUGUGGGAUUUUGUAUGUACCAUAUGAAUAAGGAUCGGCUAACUCCGUGCCAGCAGCCGCGGUAAUACGGAGGAUCCGAGCGUUAUCCGGAUUUAUUGGGUUUAAAGGGUGCGUAGGGGGAUUGUUAAGUCAGUUGUGAAAGUUUGCGGAUCAACCGUAAAAUUGCAGUUGAUACUGGCAGUCGUGAGUACAGUAGAGGUAGGCGGAAUUCGUGGUGUAGCGGUGAAAUGCUUAGAGAUCACGAAGAACUCCGAUUGCGAAGGCAGCUCACUGGACUGCAACUGACACUGAGGCUCGAAAGUGUGGGUAUCAAACAGGAUUAGAUACCCGAGUAGUC